This 52-nucleotide transfer-messenger RNA is filed under the name Neisseria sp. RNAcentral describes it as "partial transfer-messenger RNA". It matches the Rfam family "transfer-messenger RNA", at positions 321 to 374 of the family's 374-position model. Rfam says of the family: Bacterial tmRNA, also known as 10Sa RNA or SsrA, is named for its dual tRNA and mRNA-like properties. Its role is to liberate the mRNA from a stalled ribosome. The record is from RNAcentral. Lineage: Bacteria; Pseudomonadati; Pseudomonadota; Betaproteobacteria; Neisseriales; Neisseriaceae.
ACGCUUUGUAGAGGACUUUCGGACGGGGGUUCGAUUCCCCCCGCCUCCACCA